CGGGAAACCGGAGCUAAUACGGAUAAUAUAUUGAACCGCAUGGUUCAAUAGUGAAAGACGGUUUUGCUGUCACUUAUAGAUGGAUCCGCGCCGCAUUAGCUAGUUGGUAAGGUAACGGCUUACCAAGGCAGCGAUGCGUAGCCGACCUGAGAGGGUGAUCGGCCACACUGGAACUGAGACACGGUCCAGACUCCCUACGGGAGGCAGCAGUC
RNAcentral lists this ribosomal RNA (212 nucleotides) under uncultured Staphylococcus sp. RNAcentral's name for it is "partial 16S ribosomal RNA". It matches the Rfam family "Bacterial small subunit ribosomal RNA", at positions 150 to 355 of the family's 1533-position model. The record is from RNAcentral. Lineage: Bacteria; Bacillati; Bacillota; Bacilli; Caryophanales; Staphylococcaceae.